GUGAACGCCCUCACGGGCUUAUACUAUUCCAAACCUCUGUGAACCGUGCCCUUCGGGGCUAUUUUACAAGCAUGGUGUAAUGAACGUCAUAUAUCAUAACAAAACA
RNAcentral lists this unclassified non-coding RNA (106 nucleotides) under soil metagenome. Its description in RNAcentral is "partial internal transcribed spacer 1". The record is from RNAcentral.